This 215-nucleotide long non-coding RNA is filed under the name Capsicum annuum. RNAcentral's name for it is "long non-coding RNA (CANN_LNC006887)". The record is from RNAcentral. Lineage: Eukaryota; Viridiplantae; Streptophyta; Magnoliopsida; Solanales; Solanaceae.
CCUGGUCCUCCUUGCACACUGUGCACCUUGACUUAGGAAAAUAGCCUAAGUUUAGGGUGGCUAUCAUAGGGGUGCGUAAUGUAAAAGGAGUAUGGAGAAAGGUAGAAUAAAAUAAAAUUAUAAAAAGCUAGGUGCGGUGGAAUAGAAUAAUAAAUGAAAAGUUGUGAAAAAAAAGAAGUGAUUAUAGAAAAGACGGCACCCAUCCUGAAUAUGUG